This 433-nucleotide ribosomal RNA is filed under the name uncultured bacterium. RNAcentral describes it as "partial 16S ribosomal RNA". It matches the Rfam family "Bacterial small subunit ribosomal RNA", at positions 29 to 507 of the family's 1533-position model. The record is from RNAcentral.
AACGAACGCUGGCGGCAGGCUUAACACAUGCAAGUCGAACGCACCUUUCGGGGUGAGUGGCCGACGGGUGAGUAACGCGUGGGAAUCUACCCUUCUCUACGGGAUAGCUCCGGGAAACUGGAAUUAAUACCGUAUACGUCCUGAGGGCGAAAGAUUUAUCGGGGAAGGAUGAGCCCGCGUUGGAUUAGCUAGUUGGUGGGGUAAAGGCCUACCAAGGCGACGAUCCAUAGCUGGGCUAAGAGGAUGAUCAGCCACAUUGGGACUGAGACACGGCCCAAACUCCUACGGGAGGGAGCAGUGGGGAAUAUUGGACAAUGGGCGCAAGCCUGAUCCAGCCAUGCCGCGUGAGUGAUGAAGGCACUAGGGUUGUAAAGCUCUUUCAGUGGGGACGAUAAUGACGGUACCCACAGAAGAAGCCCCGGCUAACUUCGUG